Molecule: ribosomal RNA, 254 nt
Filed under: uncultured bacterium
Lineage: Bacteria
Description: partial 16S ribosomal RNA
Rfam family: Bacterial small subunit ribosomal RNA
Source: RNAcentral
UACGUAGGGGGCAAGCGUUGUCCGGAUUCAUUGGGCGUAAAGAGCUCGUAGGCGGCUUGGCAAGUCGGGUGUGAAAACUCCAGGCUCAACCUGGAGACGCCACCCGAUACUGCCAUGGCUUGAGUCCGGUAGGGGACCACGGAAUUCCUGGUGUAGCGGUGAAAUGCGCAGAUACCAGGAGGAACACCGGUGGCGAAGGCGGUGGUCUGGGCCGGUACUGACGCUGAGGAGCGAAAGCGUGGGGAGCGAACAGG